Molecule: long non-coding RNA, 5928 nt
Filed under: Homo sapiens (human)
Lineage: Eukaryota; Metazoa; Chordata; Mammalia; Primates; Hominidae
Description: HSALNT0360976
Source: RNAcentral
AGACCCAGGCGCGGCGUUUUACCUGCAGCGGCUGUGCUCGCCCCGCCGCGACCCCCGCAGGACGGAGCCGGAUCCCCCUGCACUCGGGCGGACCUGGGACCCUCAGAGGCGAGCCGGCUGCCUCGGGUCACACAUCCGCGAACUCCGGGGGCGGGCUCCCCAGGACGCCGCCGACCCCCCACGACCCCCAGCCCUCCCGCUUCCGUGGAAAGCCGCCCCGACGACCCCUGUGCGGGCUGUUGAGGGGCCGCACCCCGCCGACCGCUGUGGGAACACCUCCGCGCGUGCGGCGGGGACGCGGCGAGUCCGGGGCAGGAAGAACGCACGGAUGGAGACAACAGGAAGGAAAGAGACCUUCCUGGUCACACUUGGGCCACAGGAGAACAGGCAGCGGCCCAGGAGGAUCCAGGGUCCUGAUGGUGGUUGAGAAGCUGGUUCUUAGUGAUCACUCAGAAACGUCGGCCUGGCCUUGUGGGGUCAGACCUUGCAUCUCAGUCAGCCCAGGGAGAAGAAGAAGAUGGUCCACACCCAAGUGCAGGGAACAUCGUGGCAGUCGGCUGGGUGCCUGCGUCCAGGCGAGGACACCUCCCGCAUCAGGGAAACACACGUUUCUGGAGUGAGGAGGCUGAAGGCAGGGCCCAGAGGAGAGCUGAGCCAUGGAAGGAGGUGUGUGCAUGGAUGGUGAGCUAGAGCAGGUGCAGGUGCCUCAGGGAGGAUGUGUGGGACGAACUGACUCAGGGAACCAUAAGAAAUGCUUUCACCAAACAGGAGAAACCUGAAGGUCUGGGUCCAGAGCCUCAGAUCUUACACUGGCAGCACACAGGGACACAACAGUUGGACUGGCAGCAACAGGGCUUGCAGCAGCUGGACUGGCAGCACACGGGGACACAGCAGCUGGACUGGCAGCAGCAGGGCUUGCAGCAGCUGGACUGGCAGCAGGAUGAUCCACAGCCUGAGGAGCAGCAACAGGGCUUACAACAGCUGGACUGGGAGCAGCCACAAGAACCACAGCCCCCCUUGGAACCCCCACAGGAGCCACAGCCCCCCUUGGAGCCCCCACAGGAGCCACAGCCCCCCUUGGAGCCCCCACAGGAGCCACAGCUGGUGCAGGAACAGGCUGGCACCCAGGAGCACACGGGCUUGCAGCAGCAGACAGGCACAUAACAUCUGGAGCCACAUCCCCCACAGCUGGAGCUGCAGCCCCCACAGCCAGAGCCACAGCCCCCACGGCCGGAGCCACAGCCCCCACAGCCAGAGCCACAACCCCCACAGCUGGAGCCACAGCCCCCACAGCCGGAGCCACAGCCUCUGGAGCAGCCACAGCAGCCCAUGGUUCUGGUGGAUUGAGGGUGGAGCAGGUAGAGGAGCAGGUGAGAGGGAGGUGCAGGUGUGGAGCUCCCUGAGCCUGGGCUCUUUAUAUACCUGUCCAGAUGUCAGGCAUGACACAGGGUCCCUUUCUUGUGACUGUUUACACUAUUUUUCCAGAGCUCUAUUUUUUUCCUCUUUGCUAGUGACUUCCUUCUGGCUCAGUUGAGCAUCUACUUUCUUUGUUUUCUAAAUUUGUCUUUUUCCCCAUUUGUUUUGGCCCCUACAAUUAAAACCUCAGCUCCAGGCUGUCUGGUUCUUCCUGCAAAGCUCCAGGGUGCUGGUCACCUGCUCUCUGCUGACCACAUGUGACCAAUGGGCAACAGCCUCUGCCCACGUGCUCUCAUCUUUCCUGUGUUGACUCCCUCAAUAAUAUUAAUUUUACAUUUUUAGAUUUCAAAAUUAUCCACGAUCUUUAUACUCAUGCCAGUCUCAGCUUUCCGGGUGUGUUAGACCAUUCUUUGCAUUGCUCUAAAGAAAUACUUGAGGCUGGGUAAUUUAUAAAGGAAAGAGGUUAGAAUGGCUCAUGGUUCUGCAGGCUGCACAAGCAUGGCACCCACCUCUGCUCAGCUUCUGGGGAGGCCCUCAGGGAGUUUUCCUCACGGUGGAAGGCGAAGCAGGAACAGGCACACCACAUGGUGAGAGUGGGAGCAAGGGGUGAGGAGGAGCCACACACUUGUGAACAACCAGAUCUGAGUGAACACACUCAUCGCCAAGGGGGUGGCACUAAGUCACUCAUGAGGGAUCCACCCCCAUGACCCAGACACCUCCCUGCAGGCCCCUCCUUCAACACUGGCCAACAACUAUAUGAAAAAAUGCUCCACAUCACUAACUAUUCGGGGAAUGUAAAUCGAAACCACCACGAGAUACCAUCUCAUAUCAGUCAGAAUGGCUUUUGAUAAAAAGUAAAAAACAAAACAAAACAAAAAAACCUAAAAUCAGAUGCUGGCAAAGCUUGAGAGAGAAGGGAACACUUGUACACUGUCGGUGGGAAUGUAAAUGAAUUCAGCCACCACGGAGAGCAGUUUGGAGAUUUCUCAAAGAGCUAAGAAUUGAACUACUAUUUGACCCAGCAAUCUCAUGAUUGGGUAUAUACCCAAAGGAAAAUAAAUCAAUCUACCAAAAAGACACAUGCAUCCAUAUGUUAAUUGCAGUGCUAUUCACAAAAGCAAAGAUGUGGAAUCAACCCAGGUGCCCAUCAAUGGUGGAUUGGAUAAAGAAAAUGUGGUACAUAUACACCAUGGAAUACUACACAGCUGCAAAAAAGAACGAAGUCAUAUCUUUUGCAGCAGUAUGGAUGAAGCUGGAGGCCGUUAUCCUAAGGGAACUAAUGCAGAAGCAGAAAACCAAAUACCACAUAUUCUCACUUAUAAGUGAGAGCUAAACUUUGAGUCCACAUGGACAUAAAGAUGAAAACCAUAGACACUGGGGAACAAGAGGAGGGAGGAAGGGAGGGAGGGGGCAAAGGCUGAAUACUGGGGAACAAGAGGAGAGAGCAAGGGGGCAAGGACUGAAAAACUACUGGGUACCACAGUCACUAUUUUGGUGAUGGAUUCAUUCAUACUCCAAACCUCAGCAUCACACAAUAUACCCAUGUGAAAAACCUGCACAUGUACUGCCUGAUUCUAAAAUAAAAGUUGAAGAAAAAGUUCUUUAUAUACUCUAGAUACUAGAUGCUUAUCAGAUAUCUGAUUUGUAAAUCUUUUCUUCCUUUAUUAUGUAGACUGUUCUUUCACUUUGUUGAUAGCGUCCUUUGGUGCAAAAAUAUUUAACUUUUGAUGGCAUCCAAUGUAUUUGUAUUUCUCUUUUGUUGCUGGUGCUUUUGGUGUCCUAUCUAUGAAUCCACACCGAAUCCAAGGUCAUGUUUUCUUUUAAUAGUUUUAUAGAUUUGACUCUUAAAUGUAGGCCUUUUGACCCAUUUUAAAUUAAUUAGUGUAUGUGGUGUGAAGUAGGGGUCCAGCUCAUUCCUGUGCAUGUGGAUGUCUAGUUUCCCAGCAUCAUUUGUUGAAGUACUGCUCUUCCUCCAUUGAAUGAUCUGGCACCCUGUCAAAAAUCAGUUGGUCAUCUACAUGAGGGUUUAUUUCUGGCUCUCAAUUCUAUUCCACUGGUUUAUACAUUUAUUCUAACAACAGUGCUAAACUGCCCUGAUGACUGCAGCUUUGUAGUAAGUUUUCAAAUUGGCAAGUGUGAGCCCUCCAACAUUGUUCUUCUUUUUAACCUUGUUUUAGCUAUUCCGGGUCCCUUGAGAUUCCACAUGAACUUUAAAAUCAGCCUGUGAAUUUCUACAAAGAAGCCAGCUGCUUUCCUGAUAGAGAUUGCAUAGACUCUGUAGAUCAAUUUUGGGGGUAUUGCCAUCUGAAAAAUGUUAAGUCUCCUGAUACAUGAACAUCAGUCUGCUUUUGGGCUGCCAUAACAAAAUACCACGGAUUUGGUGGCCCAACAACAGGCAUUUAUUUUCUCACAAUUCAGAAGUCCAAGAUCGGGUGCAAGCAACUUUUGUUUCUGGUGAGGGCUCUCUCCUUUGGUUGCAGAUGGCCGCUUUCCCACUCUUUGCUCACAUGGCCUUUCCUUUGUGUGUGGAGAGAGAAAGAGUUGGAGGGAGGAAGAGAGAGAGAGAGAGAGAGAGAGAAAGAGAGAGCGAGACAGAGGCAAAUGCUCCCUGGUGUCUCUUCUUAUGAAGAUGCAAAUCCUGUGGAAGCCCUUAUGACCUUACGUAACCUUAAUUUCUUCCUUGGAGAACUCGUCUCCAUAUACAACCACAAUGGGAGUGAUGGAUUCAACAUAUGAAUUUGAAAGAACAUGAAUAUUCAGUCCACAACAAAUCUGGGAUGUUUUAGAUCUUCUUUAGUUUCUUUCAACAGUGUUUUGUCACUUUCAGAGUUGCAAGUGAGUAGAAAUACAAUUGAUUUUUAUAUAUUGGUCCUGUAUUCUGAAAACUUGCUGGAUUCAUUUAUUAGUUCUAUAAUCUAUAAAACACUGGCCGAGCACGAUGGCUCAUGCCUAUAAUCCCAGCAAUUUGGGAGCCCAAGGCAGGUGGAUCACAUGAGGCCAAGAGUUCAAGACCAGCCAGGCCAACAUGGUGAAACCUCAUCUCUACUAAAAAUAUAAAAACUAGCUGGGCACGGUGGUGCAUGCCUGUAAUCACAGCUACUUGGGAGGCUGAGGUGGAAGAAUUGCUUGAACCAAGGAGGCAGAGGUUGUAGUAAGCUGACAUUGUGCCACUGCACUCCAACAACCGAGCGAGACCCUGUCUCAAAAAAAAAAUCUAUAAAACAUUAGUAGCUCUUACAAAUUGACAAGUAGAAUACAAACAACCAAGUUUUUAAAAAGAUGAUUCUCUGAUAAACAAAUGGAAGUGUGCAAUUAAAAAUAUAAAAAGUAAAUCAGACUCACUGGUAGUCAGAUACACGGGAUCUUUUCUGUGGAGUCCUAAUGAUGGAAAAGGAGCCAGGUUGGUUGGACCAAGGGAAAGCAAAAAGAGAAGGCAGAUGAACUACAAGUCUGCCUUUCUUCCUGGUGCAGGACUUAGCCCUCCUAUGCAAAUAACUCACAUAACUCACAAUCUUCCUGCACUCAACUUAUGACCUCAGUUGAUAGAAAAAUGCAAAUUAGCUCACUGAAACCUUGGCAUUAUCAGCACUGCAUGUAACCCUCUCCGGCACAAGCACCAUCCUAUAAAAUCCCCAGCAAGCCUUUGUCUCCUGGCAGCCAGCUCCUCCCUUGCUGACCUGCCCUUUCCAUUCUUGCAACGUAUUUUCCUACAUUCUCUAAUAAAUCUGCCUUUCCUUACCUACAACUGUCUUGGUAAAUUCCUUUUCUGCCCACGCUAGUGGACUCAGUUAGUGGCUACCUGCAACAUUUUAUAUCUACUAGACUGACCAAAAUUAACAAGAAUAAUAACACCUAUUGCUAGUGAAAUUGGGGGAAAAGGUACUCAUACAUUGUUCUGGGGAUACAAUUUAUUACAGUUUUUUUGAAAACAAUAUCUAAUAAAAUUAGGUCAUAUCAAUACAAUUAGUCUUGAAAUUACUGAAAAAAGAUUAAACGUAAACAUAUUCGUGUAUACAUAUAUGUGUAUGAUCUAUUAUUUACAGUGUCAGAAAAAGAAUCCUAGCAAAUUGAAAAUUAAUACUAAAAGUCAUACCCACUAAAAAAUAAGAUUACACCUGUACCAGUGGACUUGGAGAAAUUUCCUCAAGGCUCUGGCUAGUGUGAAAUGUAGAUGCAGAGAAAUGAGCCCUGUAGGAUCCUAUUUUAGUAGCAAGCAAUAAAAAUAUCUUUUACACAUAUGUUGAGUGUGUGCCUGGGGUACGUAGGACAGUGGCUGGGUGGAGUGGGGAAGGUGUGUAGGAAUCAACAAAAAGCAAAUGACAGUGAAAAGUGAGUCCAGUAUGUGUGAUCCUACUUGUGGAAAAACUCCACAUAUAUGAAUACGCAUGCGCGUAAAGAAACAUAGACUUAUACCCAGAUCUACUUCCUAGGAGAGGCAACCAUGAUACAAGUUCUAGUGAAAAGAAUUAAGUUGCAAAGAAAUGUGGAUAAUAAAAUCCGAAUUGGUAGCAA